Molecule: ribosomal RNA, 301 nt
Filed under: uncultured bacterium
Lineage: Bacteria
Description: partial 16S ribosomal RNA
Rfam family: Bacterial small subunit ribosomal RNA
Source: RNAcentral
CAGUCGCCGCGUAAUACGAAGGGGGCUAGCGUUGUUCGGAAUUACUGGGCGUAAAGGGCGCGUAGGCGGCCAUUCAAGUCAGAUGUGAAAGCCCUGGGCUCAACCUAGGAAUUGCAUUUGAUACUGUUUGGCUUGAGUUCGGGAGAGGUGAGUGGAAUUCCCAGUGUAAAGGUGAAAUUCGUAGGUAUUGGGAAGAACACCAGUGGCGAAGGCGGCUCACUGGACCGACACUGACGCUGAGGCGCGAAAGCGUGGGGAGCAAACAGGAUUAGAUACCCCCGUAGUCCCUGUCUCUUAUACA